Long non-coding RNA from Aedes albopictus (Asian tiger mosquito), 4398 nucleotides. RefSeq lists it as uncharacterized. The transcript has 2 exons. The record is from RefSeq and is a predicted model, not a curated record. NCBI's taxonomy places the organism in Eukaryota, Metazoa, Arthropoda, Insecta, Diptera, Culicidae.
UUCCAUAUGAUCGGUGGUUGAAGCACCGACGAACCGACGUGACAGCUAGAACAAACAAAUUAAAAUUUGUUGUCCUCGACGCCAUGAUGAAAAAUAGCCAAACACUACCGCCACCUCUAUAACGGUUCGCGUUGAUUUGAUAGCUUGACCCCAAACCCCCGUGUGUUCAUAUAUAAAAGGUUCGCGUCUGCGCUGAUUUGACAGAAGCGUUCGCUCGCUUCGCUGGUCGACCGUUAAAUUUAGGGGGACACUUUUGAAACACCACUGUCACGUCGGUUCGUCGGUGGUUAAAGGUCUGCGUUUCAACAAUUUGAGCGUGAGCUCUGCAUCUCCUCAGUUGUCUCGGGAAGGAGUUUUUUGUUAGUGAGUUCCUAACGAUUCUGGCACGGUAAAGGCUGGGUAUGCUGCGCAAUUCAGAUCCUAUUGUGAUCCACUAGCCUCUGCCCAGCAACUCCUAUCCCUACCUCCUCACGGUAUCGGCCGGAAACUAUGAGCAACCUUAGGGAAGAUCGGGUAACCAACCCCGGUGGGAACUUUGGUCGUAGGCUGACAGGGAAGGGGGGGGGGGGGGUUGCUUCGGCAAACCUGAGCAUCUGUUCUCCAGGAGGAGCGGCUCACCACAACAGCGUCUGAUCCCCAUGUUAGGGGCGGCUGAUCUACGUCCGAGUGCCAGGGAAGGACUCUAAGCUCAAUUGUGCACUAUGGUCCUCCGGAAAGUAGGUGGUUGGUGUCAGGUCCUACGAGCCAGCCGUAAAAGCCCAUUGUAACGGGAAAUCAGCAACCGAAUAAUACAAACCGAGACCAACGGCAACGACUCCAGCGAACAAAAAGGACUUGCAAUUGGAAACUGGGUACUUGGAACUGCCGAUCUCUCAACUUCAUUGGGAGUACCCACAUACUCGCCGAUCUACUGGAGGACCGCGGGUUCGGCAUCGUAGCGCUGCAGGAGGUGUGUUGGACAGGAUCCAUGGUGCGAACGUUUAGAGGUAACCAUACCAUCUACCAGAGCUGCGGCAACACACGCGAGCUGGGAACAGCUUUCAUCGUGAUAGGUGAUAUGCAGAGGCGCGUGAUCGGUUGGUGGCCGAUCGACGAAAGAAUGUGCAGGUUGAGGAUCAAGGGCCGAUUCUUCAACUUCAGCAUAAUAAACGUGCACAGCUCACACUCCGGAAGCACUGAUGAUGACAAGGACGCAUUUAACGCGCAGCUCGAACGCGAGUACGAUCGCUGCCCAAGCCACGACGUCAAGAUCAUCAUCGGAGAUUUAAACGCUCAGGUAGGCCAGGAGGAGGAAUUCAGACCGACGAUUGGUAAGUUCAGCGCCCACCAGCAAACGAACGAAAACGGUCUACGACUCAUUGAUUGCGCCGCCGCCAAACAUAUGGUUAUACGUAGCACCUUUUUCCAACACAGCCUCCCUUAUCGUUACACCUGGAGAUCACCACACAGACGGAAUCUCAAAUCGACCACGUUCUGAUUGACGGACGGCACUUCUCCGACAUUAUCGACGUCAGGACCUAUCGUGGCGCCAACAUCGACUCCGACCACUAUCUGGUGAUGGUCAAACGAUUCUAUAACAUUCCCCAGAAAACCAUUCCCCAGAAAACCAAUCCCCAGAAUUCCAUUCCCCAGAAUGUACCAUUCCCCAGAAAACCAUUUCCCAGAAACCCAUUCCCCAGAAUGUACCAUUCCCCAGAAUGUACCAUUCCCCAGAAAUCCAUUCCCCAGAAUGUACCAUUCCCCAGAAUUCCAUUCCCCAGAAUGUACCAUUCCCCAGAAAGAAAAUAAAACUAUUGUUUUAUUUCUGAAUGGUUUAUCUUCUUCUUCUUUAUGGUUCUACGUCCGCACUGGGACUUGGCCUGCCUCUCUUCAACUUAGUGUUCUUUGAGCACUUCCACAGUUAUUAAUUGAAGGGCUUUCUUUGCCUGCUAUUGCAUGAAUUUGUAUAUUGUGAGGCAAGUACAAUGAUACUCUAUGCCUAGGGAGUCGAGGAAAUUUUCCCGACCGGAACGGGAAUCGAACCCGCCGUCUCCGGAUUGGCGAUCCAUAGCCUUAACCACUAAGCUAACUGGAGACCCUGAAUGGUUUAUAUUAAUCGCUAAAAAUCAAAUAUUUAAUCGUAACAAAUCACCGAAAGAAACAUCCUGCCAAAAAUUCUUCAAAACUUUGGAAAUAAGCAUGAUUUCCCGGAUAAAAACUAACCAUAGGGUAUUUGGUGAAAACCAUUCUUGUACCAUACAGUGUACCAGCUACAAUAUAGUGUAUUGUAAUGGAAUGGUUCGCUAAAAGCUUUGCACAUUGGUAGCUACUAUACAUUUACAUCCGAUUUUAAUGUAACAAUAUAUUAUACUGUUUUUCUUACGUUUGAACCAUUCAUUUUUCGGAAACAACCUUUUUCCGUGCAUUUUUAAUUAUUUAUUCAGUUUAUGAUUUUUUCCGUGCUUUGUUUUGUUGAUGUUCGUGACAUUUUUGUUGCAAAGGAAAUGAAAGAGAAAAAAGUGAAUAAGUUGAAACAUCUAUUUAAAGUCAAUAAAAUGUUUAAAUAAAGUGGUAAACCAGGUGUCCUAAGGACUGCAUAUCCAAGAGAUAUGGUGGGCUAGGUCAACCCGGAAAGACGCAGGCCAGAUUACCGUAAAUCAGUGGAUGAGUUCAACACUAUUUUUUCUCUUCUUCUCUCAUGUGAAAUUGCCUUGUACAACAACCGAAUUAAAUGCGAUUUAUCUUUGACAUUUUUAACAUAAGGACUGGACUGGACACUGAAACGACUUCUGAAAUAAGUUCGUCUUCGCUUUUUAACCUAACUUAUAGUUGAAUCGAACUUGACAGUUUUCUCAUGAGUUGUUAUGUACACAUUUCAUAGUUCAGUCAAAUUGGAGCCUCAAUAUUGCAAUAAUGGUUAAGCACGCUGUAAUGAUACUUAUGUACCUCGUCACCCACUUCAUGCAACUACAUUAGUGGUCUAAUAACACUUAGCGCGCUAGGCAUAGUUCCAUCAUGCCGCUCAAAGUGUUGCCACAAAUAAUGCUUAGUUUGCAAAACCCGGUUAUCUGGCUGGUGGGACAUGGGAGCUUAAGCUUCAACUGUUAAUGCAAUCAGAGGCUACUCAGACUUAGACGAGUUUAGGUUAGUUUGGCUAGAACUGCCAUUAUCGAAGGAACAUGACGAGAUAAUAUAACAUUAUAUGGUUUAUCUAAUGUAAAACAAUACAACAUAACAAAAGAGAACUAUUCCAAAACCAUGAUUAAAUUUAUAACCAGUAGUGAAAUUACAAUUAAAAACAAUAUAUUUACGGUACAUUUUAUUGUUUGAAACCAUACGUGUACCAUACAAUGUACGGUAUAUUAAAGCCCACGUAUCAGUAUUUCGAACAAUUCAUUUACAAUAAAAUGUAUGGUUUUGUAAAAAAAUAUAUAUGGAGAAAAAUAUUUUUUUAUAUUGUUACGAUACUUAACAACCCGUAUAGUAUAUUGUAAAAAUCUCAUUUACAAUUCACUGUAUGGUGUCUAACAUUACAUCUUAUUGUUUUUGUAUUUUUUAUUUUUACAGUGGUGUUUAUUGUAACAAUAUGGUUCUAAAUAGUACUGUUACAAUACAACAUUCGGUUUUUCUACUGUAUUUUUUAUUCGGGUUGCCUUUACAAUUUAGGUUAUUGGUAUAAUUAUUGGCGUCGCAACUGCUUACUAUUUCAACAUACAUUUUUCCUUCUUUUCUGCAUAGGUUGUUCUUUCGAAUUGCACUUUUCAGUAAAUUAUCGACAUCAAAAUUUCUUACAUUUUCUACGAAGUUUUUCCUUCUUUUCUGCAUAGGCUGUUCUUUCGAGUUACACUAUUCAGGUAAUUAUCGGCACCACAAGCACAGGUAUUUAGAAAUUUGAAAAAAAAUAUUAAAUAAAUAUUUUAGCAAUUUUAACACCGGUGGAGGCUGUAAUGCCCAUAAUUUCCCGAAAAGUGCAAUUCGAAAGAACAGCAUAUGCAAAAAAGAAGGGAGAAUCUAUGUUAAAAAAGUAUAUACGCAGUUGCGAUGCCGAUAAUUUCCUGAAAAGUGCAACUCGAAAGAACAGCCUAUGCAAAAGAAGGGAAAAUUGUUGAUGAACAUAUAAGCAGUUGUAAUGCCAACAAUUCUUAUAACGACUCAAACAUUUUUUUAACGAAGAAGGAAACGUAACACUCUGAUAAUUGCCAUCGUACUUCGAUUUAACGGUUUAUUUGAGGGUUGACCAACUGCCAAUCCGCGGCGCUCGCAUCGUUUUUGUUCGAGUUUGACACUACUGCCACCUAGUUGAUGGUUGGCCAAAUUCAGUCCUUUUAGAAUUAAGCGAAUCUGUUUCCGAGACUAAAAUUUGAAUCGAAAAAUGUUCGAAGUGUUACGUCUGUUUGUCUGUGGUGACAUUGUUUUCCU